Molecule: ribosomal RNA, 449 nt
Filed under: uncultured bacterium
Lineage: Bacteria
Description: bacterial SSU rRNA
Rfam family: Bacterial small subunit ribosomal RNA
Source: RNAcentral
GUCGAGAAUUUUUCACAAUGGGCGAAAGCCUGAUGGAGCGACGCCGCGUGGGGGAUGAAUGGCUUCGGCCCGUAAACCCCUGUCAUUCGCGAUCAACCCUUAUUAUUUAAAAGAUGAUGAGCUGAUAGUAGCGGAAGAGGAAGGGACGGCUAACUCUGUGCCAGCAGCCGCGGUAAUACAGAGGUCCCGAGCGUUGUUCGGAUUCACUGGGCGUAAAGGGUGCGUAGGUGGUGGGGUAAGUCGGAUGUGAAAUCUCCAAGCUCAACUUGGAAAUGGCAUUGGAAACUGCCCUGCUAGAGGAUCGGAGGGGGGACUGGAAUACUUGGUGUAGCAGUGAAAUGCGUAGAUAUCAAGUGGAACACCAGUGGCGAAGGCGAGUCCCUGGACGAUACCUGACACUGAGGCACGAAAGCUAGGGGAGCAAACAGGAUUAGAAACCCUAGUAGUCC